This 253-nucleotide ribosomal RNA is filed under the name uncultured bacterium. Its description in RNAcentral is "partial 16S ribosomal RNA". It matches the Rfam family "Bacterial small subunit ribosomal RNA", at positions 524 to 776 of the family's 1533-position model. The record is from RNAcentral.
UACGUAGGGUGCAAACGUUGUCCAGAAUUAUUGGGCGUAAAGGGCUCGUAGGCGGUCUGUCACGUCGGGAGUGAAAACUCAGGGCUUAACCCUGAGCCUGCUUCCGAUACGGGCAGACUAGAGGUAUGCAGGGGAGAACGGAAUUCCUGGUGUAGCGGUGAAAUGCGCAGAUAUCAGGAGGAACACCGGUGGCGAAGGCGGUUCUCUGGGCAUUACCUGACGCUGAGGAGCGAAAGUGUGGGGAGCGAACAGG